GUCCCCAAGUUAGUUCCCCUUUCUACCAUGGCGUCAUCAUUCCCCAAGGAAGCAACGCCCACACACCCAAUGGAACUCUGGGUUUACUUCUGAUUCCUUUCUCUCCUGCAAGUCCCCUAAAUUAGUCCUUCUCCUUAGUCAACUGUUUUCCAUAGUGCUUCCUUUUCCUCCUUUCCUUGUGAUUUGCUUUAGUCCAAAUCCUCAUUUUCUAGAUGACAAUCUCUGAGUGGGUCUCUCUUUUUUUUGGCCUCCACACAUUGGUCUGCUCCAGUCUGCCUUUCAUAUAUCAUUCAGUCAUGCUAUAUGAGACAAAAAUUUCUGGAGAGACAGAAGGAGUAUCCUUGAUUUAUAUUAAUACCUAGAAUGUAGAAUAUGGCAAUAUGCUGCAUG
RNAcentral lists this long non-coding RNA (390 nucleotides) under Bos taurus (domestic cattle). Its description in RNAcentral is "long non-coding RNA NONBTAT008948". The record is from RNAcentral. Lineage: Eukaryota; Metazoa; Chordata; Mammalia; Artiodactyla; Bovidae.